Hibiscus syriacus is the source of this 148-nucleotide long non-coding RNA. RefSeq lists it as uncharacterized. NCBI's taxonomy places the organism in Eukaryota, Viridiplantae, Streptophyta, Magnoliopsida, Malvales, Malvaceae. The record is from RefSeq and is a predicted model, not a curated record. The transcript has 3 exons.
CAAGUUCCCCUUCCCUUAUGCAGGAACAACCAGCUUCAACUCUGUUUGUUAACAGUUCGAUGCCAGCUCCGAUUUCUGCAAUCUUGGCAUCCUUGGAAGCCUUUGCUACUUUGGCAAUGUUCACAACAUCAAAGUCCAUUGCUAGCUU